RNAcentral lists this ribosomal RNA (413 nucleotides) under uncultured bacterium. RNAcentral describes it as "bacterial SSU rRNA". It matches the Rfam family "Bacterial small subunit ribosomal RNA", at positions 505 to 916 of the family's 1533-position model. The record is from RNAcentral.
GGGUUAGUAGCCGCGGUAAGACGGAGGGGGAGAGGGGUGUCCGGAAUUACUGGGCGUAAAGAGCACGUAGGCGGGUAUUUAAGUCAGGUGUGAAAGACCGCAGCCCAACUGCGGGGUUGCACUUGAAACUGGAUAUCUUGAGGGCAGGAGAGGUCAGUGGAAUUCCUGGUGUAGCGGUGAAAUGCGUAGAUAUCAGGAGGAACACCAGUGGCGAAGGCGGCUGACUGGACUGACCCUGACGCUGAGGUGCGAAAGCGUGGGUAGCAAACAGGAUUAGAUACCCUGGUAGUCCACGCCGUAAACGAUGGAUACUAGGUGUGGGAGGUAUCGACCCCUUCCGUGCCGGAGCUAACGCAAUAAGUAUCCCGCCUGGGGAGUACGGUCGCAAGGCUGAAACUCAAAUGAAUUGGCGG